Molecule: ribosomal RNA, 497 nt
Filed under: uncultured bacterium
Lineage: Bacteria
Description: partial 16S ribosomal RNA
Rfam family: Bacterial small subunit ribosomal RNA
Source: RNAcentral
GACGAACGCUGGCGGCGUGCCUAAUACAUGCAAGUAGAACGCUGAAGAGAGGAGCUUGCUCUUCUUUGAUGAGUUGCGAACGGGUGAGUAACGCGUAUGUAACCUGCCUGGUAGCGGGGGAUAACUAUUGAAAACGAUAGCUAAUACCGCAUAAAAUGGAUUAUCGCAUGAUAAUCCAUUGAAAUUUGCAAAUGCAUCACUAACAGAUGGCCCUUCGUUUUAUUAGGUAGGUGGUGGGGUAACGGGUCACUAAGGCGUGGAUGCAUAGCCGAAAUGAGAGGGCGAUGGGCCAGACUGGGACGGUGACACGGCCCAGACGCCUACGGGAGGCAGCAGUAGGGAAUCGGCGGGAAGGGACGGAAGAUUGUACAAAAAACGCGGAGGGCGUGAGGAACGUUGUCGGAUCGGAGAGCUCGGUCGUAAGGGAAGAACGAGCGUGAGAGUGGAAAGAUCACUCUGUGACGGUAACUGAUAAGAAAGCGACGGCUAACUACGUG